ACAUCCAGAGAACUUAGCAGAGAUGCUUUGGUGCCCUCGGGAACUCUGAGACAGGUGCUGCAUGGCUGUCGUCAGCUCGUGUUGUGAAAUGUUGGGUUAAGUCCCGNAACGAGCGCAACCCUUAUCCUUUGUUGCCAGCGGCUCGGCCGGGAACUCAAAGGAGACUGCCGGUGAUAAACCGGAGGAAGGUGGGGAUGACGUCAAGUCAUCAUGGCCCUUACGGCCAGGGCUACACACGUGCUACAAUGGCGCAUACAAAGAGAAGCGACCUCGCGAGAGCAAGCGGACCUCGUAAAGUGCGUCGUAGUCCGGAUUGGAGUCUGCAAUUCGACUCCAUGAAGUCGGAAUCGCUAGUAAUCGUAGAUCAGAAUGCUACGGUGAAUACGUUCCCGGGCCUUGUACACACCGCCCGUCACACCAUGGGAGUGGGUUGCAAAAGAAGUAGGUAGCUUAACCUUCGGGAGGGCGCUUACCACUUUGUGAUUCAUGACUGGGGUGAAGUCGUAACAAGGUAGGCGUAGCGAG
RNAcentral lists this ribosomal RNA (525 nucleotides) under uncultured bacterium. RNAcentral describes it as "bacterial SSU rRNA". It matches the Rfam family "Bacterial small subunit ribosomal RNA", at positions 984 to 1509 of the family's 1533-position model. The record is from RNAcentral.